CUGCCCAUAAGAGGGGGAUAAUCCAUGGAAACGUGGACUAAUACCGCAUAUUGAAUAUUUAUCGCAUGGUAGAUAUUUGAAAGGAUUUAUCGCUUAUGGAUGGACUCGCGUCAGAUUAGCUAGUUGGUGAGGUAAUGGCUCACCAAGGCGACGAUCUGUAGCCGAACUGAGAGGUUGAUCGGCCGCAUUGGGACUGAGACACGGCCCAGACUCCUACGGGAGGCAGCAGUGGGGAAUAUUGCGCAAUGGGGGGAACCCUGACGCAGCAACGCCGCGUGCAGGAAGAAGGUCUUCGGAUUGUAAACUGUUGUCGCAGGGGAAGAAGACAGUGACGGUACCCUGUGAGAAAGUCACGGCUAACUACGUGCCAGCAGCCGCGGUAAUACGUAGGUGACAAGCGUUGUCCGGAUUUACUGGGUGUAAAGGGCGCGUAGGCGGAUGUGCAAGUCAGUCGUGAAAUACCGGGGCUCAACCCCGGGGCUGCGAUUGAAACUGCACACCUUGAGUAUCGGAGAGGAAAGCGGAAUUCCUAGUGUAGCGGUGAAAUGCGUAGAUAUUAGGAGGAACACCAGUGGCGAAGGCGGCUUUCUGGACGACAACUGACGCUGAGGCGCGAAAGUGUGGGGAGCAAACAGGAUUAGAUACCCUGGUAGUCCACACCGUAAAC
RNAcentral lists this ribosomal RNA (667 nucleotides) under uncultured bacterium. RNAcentral describes it as "bacterial SSU rRNA". It matches the Rfam family "Bacterial small subunit ribosomal RNA", at positions 126 to 807 of the family's 1533-position model. The record is from RNAcentral.